RNAcentral lists this ribosomal RNA (453 nucleotides) under uncultured beta proteobacterium. RNAcentral's name for it is "bacterial SSU rRNA". It matches the Rfam family "Bacterial small subunit ribosomal RNA", at positions 463 to 916 of the family's 1533-position model. The record is from RNAcentral. Lineage: Bacteria; Pseudomonadati; Pseudomonadota; Betaproteobacteria.
AGGCGGAUGACGGUACCGGAAGAAUAAGCCCCCGGCUAACUACGUGCCCGCAGCCUCGGUAAUACUUAUGGUGCUAGCGUUAAUCUAAGUUACUGGGCGUAUAGCGUGCGCAAGCGGUUUGUUAAGACAGAUGUGAAAUCCCCGGGCUUAACCUGGGAACUGCAUUUGAGACUGGCGGGCUUGAGUAUGGCAAAGGGGGGUAGAAUUCCACGUGUAGCAAUGAAAUGCGUAAAGAUGUGGAGGAAUACCGAUGGCGAAGGCAACCCCCUGGGCCAAUACUGACGCUCAUGCACAAAAGCGUGGGGAGCAAACACGAUUAAAUACCCUGGUAGUCCACGCCCUAAACGAUGUCACUAGUUGUUGGGUAUUCAUUUCCUUAGUAACGCAGCUAACGCGUGAAGUUGACCGCCUGGGGAGUACGGUCGCAGGAUUAAAACUCAAAGGAAUUGACGG